Non-coding RNA from Misgurnus anguillicaudatus (oriental weatherfish), 8852 nucleotides. The record is from RefSeq and is a predicted model, not a curated record. Lineage: Eukaryota; Metazoa; Chordata; Actinopteri; Cypriniformes; Cobitidae.
GACAGAAUUUUCAUUUUAAGGUGAACUAUCCCUUUAAAGUCAAAAAGGUUUAGAAUAGAUCUACUGAACUUACCAGUUAGUAAAGAUUUUGGAGAGUGGCACCACCUAGUGGUGAACCCUAUUAAAACAUGCUUCAGGUUAAAUCUUACAACGUAUGAUCUACCAGUAGCAUCUGUGUCAUUUUUUAUAAGAUAAUGUUACCUUUGCAUACUGGAAACACAAUUUUUGUUUUGUUUUUACAAAAUAGGGGCAAAUCUUAAUGAUGUGCUUAUGGUACAAAUGUUGUUGUUAUGGGCUUGAAUCUGGAACAAUCCUUUAAUUCAAAUGUGAUCCUGGACCACAAAACCAGGGUCAAUUGUUAAAAAUUGAGAUGUAUACAUCAUCUGAAAGAUAAAUAAGUGUUUUAGGAUAUGACAAUUUUUGGCCAAGAUACAACUAUUUGAAAAUCUGGAAUAUGAGGGUGCAAAAAAUCUAAAUAUUAAUGAAAUCGUUUUUAAAGUUGUCCAGAUUAAGUCCUUAGCAACACAUAUUACUAAUGAUAUACAUACAUUUUGAUAUAUUUAUGGUAUGUUCAUUUACUGUACAUUUACUAAAUAUCUUCAUGGAACAUGAUCUUUACUUCAUAUCCUAAUGAUUUUUGGCAUAAAAAUAAUUUUGACCCAUACAAUGUAUUGUUGGCUAUAGCUACAAAUAUACCGGUGCGACAUAUGACUAGUUUUGUGGUCCAGGGUCACAUAUGCAUUUUAAUUGUGUACUCUUUCCUAUUCUCAUUGUACUUGUAUGUGGUUAUAGUACUGUACAGUAUCUUGGAUAUGGCACAAAAUUUACAUCUUUUAAUUGACAAAAUUUGCUCUUAUGUCACCACAUUAGAUCUGUUGGCAAUUACAUUUUAACCAUUAAAUAAACACUUCCUUGUAAAGAUAAGAUUCUCCACACUUUACCGUCAAGUGUCAUAGUUCAGCCUCUCUACUUUGAUAUCCACCAAUGAAAGGCAGUUUUAGAGAUUCUUACGAAACACCUGCUCGGUUUUCGUUUGUCCUCUGGUCAGACACACCUGUACCACGCAGACCUGUGACUAAAGCUUUGGUUAUAUAUGUUAUUGAUUGAUACUUCAUGUUUUGGAAGUGUCUGCUAUUGUCAUGUAAAAAUUGACACUUGAGUUCACAGUCAGAGCAGGCUGUGUUGUAUAUCAAGAAGCUUGGAGUCUGAAAAAUGGUAAAGAUUUGCAGAAAACGGAAUGAAACUAUUGGUUUAGAGACUCUUUUUGGACUUUUCUGUCUAUUGAUUUAUCUCAAAGCUUCAUUGUGUGACAAAUGCCUUCUUGAUGCCUCAGUGCAGCUCAUGACACCGAAAAGUGAUUACGGAGAGUUCAAGAAUUCCACUUGCCAAAAGGAUUUGUGUAAGAUCACAGCACCGUAUGCAUCUUGGAUUGGAUCUCACAGUAUUACUUUGACCUGGAAGGCUCUGAAUCAAUCGGAUGUUGUGUAUAUUCCUCAAUGGACAAGCCCGAGUCUGUCUGGAGUUUGGGCACAAGCAGAGAACGUUACAGAAUCAACAUACACUGUUGAACAGCUUGAACCUUUCACCUGUUACAAAUUCAGGGUCUGGGCAGUGAAAGCAGAAGAGUACAUUCGUUCACCAGAAAGCCCUUGGUAUCAAACCGAACCAUUUGGAUUGCCAUCUAGCCCUUUUAUUGACAGUGUUGAAAGCCUGUCUGGAGAGAGCGUGGACGUCCACUGGUCUCCACCUGAGAAACCAGGAGGACCCAUUUUAGGCUUUAACCUCAACCUCACAACCAACAAACACAUCAUCAGUGUAGCAACCAGUGGAAAUGUUUUCUUCACCACAUUCUAUCCUACGUCUCAUAACACUACAUACAGGAUCUCUAUAGCUGCUGUUAACAGGGAAGGUCAAGGAUCUGUAGCUGAAGCCAGUAUAACAACACCAGAACGAGCUGAGCAGGAUGGAGGACGUUGGGUGUUUGCAUCUAGAUGGAACACAUUAAGAAAAAGAGAAAAGGAUGCUGAUUUCUUCACUACAGCUGAAUGUCUCUCUGAAGGUCUAAUAGAGAGCAACAUCACAGGAGUGGCCAUGCACUACAGUUCAAACAAGGUGUAUUUUUCUGAAGGGACUCAUAUUUGGGUGAAAGGGGCAGAAAAUCUCACUGACCACUCGGAUCUUAAGCUUCUUCACUCUGCUCAUCUAAAGGUCACAGCACUGACAAUCGAUUGGCUUUAUCAGAGGAUUUACUAUGUUUCCAGCGGUAGGGUCUAUUAUUGUGGAUUAGAUGACUGUUCUGUGCCAGUCAGUGUAAAUCUCACCUUAUUCAGUGACCUUUUAAACAUAAUUGCAGAUCCAUAUAAUGGCUUUUUAUUCUUGCUGAUGCCCAACGGUAUAUUCCGCACCCCUCUUCACGGCCAACAAGAUGAGUUAACACAAAUUGUGAACACAUCGACAAAUGCUUUCUAUGACUUGGUGGUCAGUUUCCCCAAUAAGAGGCUGGUUUUUCACGACAGAAAGGAUCAGAUGCUCAAAGCCGUGUCUCUGGAUGGCUUACACGCGGUUACACUGUACACAAGCGUUACGUUUGGAGCGACCAGUAUUGCUAACGAGAACGAUUUCUUCAUGCUCACCAAUGGAUACGCACUUUACAAACAGGUUGGCCAUGGUCAGGUGGCCAUCUUUAAUGAAUUCCCUAUGGACUGUGAUAUCUUCAAUCAGUAUGAAGGCUUUGGUAAUCUCUGCUAUUUUAGUCCAUCUGCCCAGCCUUACCCUGUACCACAAAGGCCAAGAAAUCUCGGAAUCCUGUUUGGAUCAGAUAAGGCCAAUUUGUACUGGGAUGAACCUGAAAAUAUGAUCGGAGCGAGCUCAUCCGCCUGGCAAAAUUGGACUUAUUCUGUAAACUGCUCAUUGAAUGGUCUGCUGGUGACCAGUAUUAGUGGUGUAAUUGGCACACAUGUAACAAUGUCAGAUCUGCAAAGUUCACAGCGGUACGGUGUUUCUGUCAGGGCUUGUUCUCCUGGUGGAUGUUCUACAUCCGUCUCAUAUGAAGGAUCAACUCUUCACAUUGCGGAUGAGGCACCAUAUAUAGCUGCUGCCGCUCAGUAUGGCAUCUGGAAGCAGGAUUUGGAUAGCAAUGAACUUCUUGAAGCACUGGUGACUAAUAUUAAAGAUGUAAAAGACAUUGACUGGUAUAAUGGAACAAUCUACUGGAGCAACAGCUCAGGCCACAUUAACUGGGUUGAACUAGCUGACCCGUCUGUGAGUGAGAGAGUCAUGACAAAUCCAUUAUCACUAAAGGCUGAAUCUGUGGCGUUUGACUGGCUUGGCCACUAUCUAUACUGGAGCUGCAACUCAAAUCAGAUAUGCAGAGGGUCUACAUCGAAACAGGAUGUUGAGGUAUUUCUCCAAGCAGAUGAUACGAUUCUCAGUUUGGUCAUUGAUUCAUUGAAUGCUGCCAUCUACUGGACCACUAAACUAUCUGUGGAGGGUUGUAGAUUGGAUGGAGGUGGUUAUCAACUUCUGGAUAAAAUGAGCGUGUUCUCUGGAAGAGAGGUUGCUGGAAUCACUUUGGAUGUGAUGGAGAGAAAUCUUUAUUGGCUGGUGAAGGAUGGUACACUGUUACAUCUGUACAGAGCAAACUUUAGCGGAGACAGGAUGCAAGAGCCUAAAGUGGUAGAAUAUGUUAAAUGGACCACAUCUCAAAUCUUGAAUCAUCAAGUGGGCUACUACAGCGGACGACUUGUGUGGCUGGAUGAGAAUAAACAGUUGAGGAUUCAAGAGGUGAACCAAAAAAACAGUGUCCACAUGUCUUCCAGUAACACACUGACAGCCUUUACCAUAGUACAGAAAAUGCUCAAACCUCUGCCAGAUGGGUUCCUGUCUCCUCCUGUAGUUAUUCCACCUGCAGUUCCCAAAACCUCUGUUCAUCUUGAAGGCAAUCACACAUUUUUCCAGAUACUCUGGGAUGCCAUUAAUACUGACUUUGGGAAUGUGUUUUAUUGUGUGGUGUCUAAUGGACUGUCACAAAAUGUGAAACGACUUCAAAAUAACUACCCAAGCAGAUAUUGUCACCCUGCCAAUACAAUUUCUGAGCCAGUCAUAAAUGUGACCAGAUUUAAGCCGGACACUGAAUUUAACGUCACCAUUACUCCCUUUUCAUACUGGGGUAAAGGGGAAUCAACAAGUACAGUUCUCUAUACUCCAGGAAAGGGCUCUUCAAAACAAUCUGACAUGACGUUGGUUAUUGUAAUCAUAGCAGUGUGUGUCAGUAUUGCACUUAUUAUUAUCAUCCUGUCUGCAGUCUUUUGGCACAGACGUCAAAAUAAAAAGGAUCAUGGGACAUCUACACAAACCGGUGUGCAUAUCCACAGCGAUGAGGAGUUGGAGUAUAUCCGAGGUUUGGUUGGUCUUGGGAACGCUUGCUAUGCCGUCAGUGCCAUACCCGCCCAAAGAGAGAUCGAGUCCAUCCCUGUGUUUCCCAGGGACUGUCUGAAGCUCCAGAGGUUGUUGGGAAGUGGAGCGUUUGGAGAGGUUUAUGAAGCUAUCACAGUUGGCAGCCAACUCACUGCUGGAGUCAUGCCAGAGAUGAGAGUGGCUGUUAAGACGCUGCGCAGCGGUGCCAGUGAAUAUGAGAAAGUUGAAUUCUUGAAGGAGGCUCAUCUGAUGAGCCAGUUUAAUCAUACUAACAUCCUGCGUUUGCUUGGAGUCUGCCUGCUGAAUGAACCUCAUUACCUCAUUCUGGAGCUGAUGGAGGGAGGAGACCUCCGUUCCUACCUGAGGGGAGCUCGACCUACCAAUAACCACAGAGAGCUACUAAAUCUAACCAGCCUUCUGGACAUCAGUUUGGAUGCCUCCAAAGGGUGUGCUUAUUUAGAAAGGAAGCGCUUUGUUCAUAGAGACUACUAUCCGGGUUGUCCAUGCCAGGGUUGUGACUCUUGCAUCUUUCACCGUGUGAAGUUGUCCGGCAGGGCCCGAGGAGUUCUUACAAACAGAUUGAUGGCAACAAUGAACAUGGAUGGUUGAGAGGUGAAGAAGGCCUUUGAAAAACACGGCUAUGUCAUGUUAUAAUAGGACCGGCAACGGAGCGGCCGUCGGCAGGACCAGCAAAGGACCGGCUGACGGCACGACUGGCUGAGGGGCGGGACCACCAGAGGAGCGGGUACGACUGGGACCUGCGGGCGGUACUGGCAAAGAUAUCCUCUGAGGACCACACCAGCUCAGGACCGGCUGACAGCACGACAGGCUGAGGGGCGCGACUGCCAGAGGUGCGGGCGCGGGCCGAACUGACAGAGUUUAGGUAAGUUUCUACCUCUGAAAGAACAGAUGAAGGCCCUGGUCUGGACAGCACAGCACAUGAAGGUCUAUAAAUACAUAAAACAAUAUAAUUAAGACCUGUUUUUACAAACAUUCAGACAUUAAACAACAGCUGUCUAUAAAAAUGUUGAAACAGCUAAACAUUACAUUAUAAAUGUUUAAGUUAAAACAGAGAGAACUUGAUAAACAUACUGAGCUGGAUGCAAAGUUCUCGCCCUUUUUCUAGUCUGUAUCUCCUGUAAAUAGAAACAAAGAUUGAAUGCAUGUAUAUUACACUACAUUUUACAUAUAGAUUGACAUUAGUUUUGUUUAGGACUCUGGUAAAUUUUUACCUGCGACAUAGCAUCAGUAUGGCGCUUGUGGGGCGCACAUGCUGGUGCUGGCUGCACUUGUGGAGAGGAAGGUCUAUAAAUACAUAAAAUAAAACAAUAUUUUUAAGAGCUGUUGCUGCAAAUAUUCAAACACUAACCGAAUGCUGCCUAUAAAAAGCAUGUUACAAAUGUUAAAGUUAUUUUGCUAAAACUUACUGAGCUAUAGACUUUGCCGCCUGUCUUCUCUUUCUUUGCUGCCUUCUCUUUUCUCUUUUUUUCUUCUUCUUUUGCUGCAAAUUAAACAAAUAGAGAUUUAAUGCAUGUAUAUUACACUACACAUAAAUUGGCAGUAGAUAUAUGUAGGGUUCUGGUAAAUUUCUACCUCUGAGACUGAGGUUGAAGGCCUAUAAAACACAUAAAACAAUAUUGUUAAGACCUGUUGCUUUAAAUAUUCAAACACUAAGCACAACUUUUCUAUAUAAUAACUGUAAAUGACCACAGCUAAACAUUAUAAAAAGAGAAUUUGUUAAACUUACAGAGCUACAGAAUUGCCUUUAAUUGUCAUUCUGGCUUUUUUCGCUUCAACCUCCCCCUCAUCAAAUGUGUGUGGCUGUAAAAAAAAGAGAUUUAAUGCAUGCAUAGCACACUACAUUUUACAUAUUAAUUGACAUUAGUUAUGUCUGACUCUGGUAAAUGUUUACCUGUGACAUAACAGCAGCACGGCGCUUGAGGGACGCACGUGCUGGCUGCACUUGUGGAGAGGAAGGUCUAUAAAUACAUAAAAUAAAACAAUAUUGUUAAGAGCUGUUGCUGCAAAUAUUCCAACACUUAACAUUUGCUAUUUGUAAAAUCCCUAAAGCAAAACGUUAUUUUACAAAUGUUCAACCUAAACACUUUAGAAUUUGUUAAACUUACUGAGCUACUGAAGUACAGAGGAUGUGGCCGGAAGUGGCCGGAGCAGCCCACGGUGGAACCGGCAGAGGACCGGGCCACGUUAAGACCUGCUGAUUAGCGGUCCAUGGCGGGACUUGCUGUGGAGCAGAUAACCGGCAACGGUCCGGCCAUCAGCAGAAACGGCGGAGGGGCGGGGCCGCCAGAGGCAUGGGCGCUACCAGCAGAGGAGCAGGUGCGGGCUGAACGGCCAGAAUAGCCGGCUGGGCCGGCAGAGGAGCGGGCGCGACUGGCAGAGGCACGGGUGGGACCUGCACAGGAUCGGCCGCGGGUCGCAGUGGCUGUCGGCAGGACCAGCAACAGAGCGGCCGUCGGCAGCACCCGCUGAGGACCGGCCGACGGCACGACUGGCUGAGGGGCAGGACCGCCAGAGGAGCAAGUGCGACCCCCAGAGGCAUGGGCGCUACCAGCAGAGGAGCAGGUGCGGGCUGGACGGCCAGAAUAGCCGGCUGGGCCGGCAGAGGAGCGGGCGCGACUGGCAGAGGCACGGGUGGGACCUGCACAGGAUCGGCCGCGGGUCGCAGUGGCCGUUGGCAGGACCAGCAACAGAGCGGCCGUCGGCUGGAUGGAUGGCCAGAAUAGCCGGCUGGGCCGGCAGAGGAGCGGGCGCGACUUGCAGAGGCACGGGUGGGACCUGCACAGGAUCGGCCGCAAGGUCGCAGUGGCUGUCGGCAGGACCAGCAACAGAGCGGCUGUCGGCAGCACCCGCUGAGGACCGGCCGACGGCACGACUGGCUGAGGGGCAGGACCGCCAGAGGAGCAAGUGCGACCCCCAGAGGAGCGGGCGCGGCCCCCAGAGGAGCGUGCGCGACCGGGACCUGCCCUCUGCCGGUCACACUCGCGGCCACAGUCUCAGGCUGAGCUGAACCUGAUAACCGAGAAUAAAAAUAAUAUGUCCUCUGAGGACCGGACCGGCUCAGGACCAGUGAAGUUCUGGACCAGCUCAGCAAUGGCCGACGGCAGCACCUGCAGAGGAGCAGCUGCGAGCCGCGGGUGCGACCGGCAGAGGGCCGGCCAAGGGCGGGACUGGCAGAGGUGCAGCCGUGGACACAGGCUCAGGCUGAGCUGAACCUGAUAAGCAAGAAUAAAAAUAAAUAUAUCCUCUGAGGACCACACCAGGUCAGGACCGGCCAAGUGCUGGACCGGCUUAGCAGUGGCCAUCAGCAAGACCGGCAACGGAGUGGCCGACGGCUGCACCUGCUGAGGACCGGCCGACAGCACGACCGACUGAGGGGCGCGACUGCCAGAGGCGCGGGCCGGACUGGGAGAGUAGCGGGCGGGACCCCCAGAGGAGCGGGCGCGACCGGGACCUCCAGAGGAGUGCCUGCGUGCUGCGGGUGCGACCGGCAGAGGGGCGGCCGUGGGCAGAUUUUUUUUAUAACUUACAGAUAUCCUCUGAGGACCGUACCGGCUCAGGACUGGCCAAGUGCUGGACCGACUUAGCAGUGGGCGGGUGCAGGGCCGGUGGACGAGCAGCAAUGGGUCGUCGUGUAACCCGGGCAGGUACUGGACAUAUGAGGGGGCGUACUGGUGUAUAUAUAUAUAAAUAAAUAUAAAAAUUUUCAGGGACUACCCAAUUGCUGUUUACAUAUUUACAUAAACAUGGCUAAAACAAAUAUUACAAAUGAUUAAGUAAAACAAAAGGUUAACAGCUGAACUCACGGAGCAUUAGAUCUUUGUCUAAAGCUCGCAUCCACCUCCUCAUAUGUCACAGUAACAGUCUGCAGGAAAAAUAACAAACUGAGAAUUAACAAAUGAUCAUUAAACUGAACUAAAAUUGAACUAUUUAUGAUCAAAUUUAAACCUGCAAGAUUUUCGCAGACUGAAUCCUGCCCGGGCCUGGCCUUCGACCAUUGGGCAUGGCAAAACCUGAUAAGCAAGAAUAAAAAUUACAAGUUAAAGAACAAUUGUGAAGCCCUCAAAUCUUAAUAAAUAUGUAUUACAACAUUUUAAUCUUACUUCGGUGGGUGGACAAACCGCGGGACACAAACAAAGGACCACCUUGAGCAUCCAAUGGACCUCCUGGAGGGAACUCCUCAACUAGCUUUGUUUUCUGCAUUUCCAGCCAAGUGGGACAGAGAAUUAAUACAUGCACAUUCAAUUUGUUUGUAACUUGGCACUAGUUAUGAUAAGGGCUCUGGUAAAACUCUAACCUGUGAAGCACAAGUGGGACGCUUGUGAGGAGUUAGUCCGAGGGAUCGUGAAUAGCUCAUAGAAGAAAGUCUAUAAAUACAAAUAAAACAUGUAAUAAAACUUGUUUGUGCAAACACUCAA